Molecule: ribosomal RNA, 222 nt
Filed under: uncultured bacterium
Lineage: Bacteria
Description: partial 16S ribosomal RNA
Rfam family: Bacterial small subunit ribosomal RNA
Source: RNAcentral
GGGUAAUGCAUAGGUAACGUGCCCCUUAGUCUGGGAUAGCCACUGGAAACGGUGAUUAAUACUAGAUACGCCUUCUCUCUUAAUGAGAGUUGGGAAAGUUUUUCGCUAAGGGAUCGGCCUAUGUUGUAUCAGGUAGUUGGUGAGGUAAUGGCUCACCAAGCCUAUGACACAUAGCGGGUCUGAGAGGAUGAUCCGCCACACUGGUACUGAGACACGGACCAG